Molecule: ribosomal RNA, 253 nt
Filed under: uncultured bacterium
Lineage: Bacteria
Description: partial 16S ribosomal RNA
Rfam family: Bacterial small subunit ribosomal RNA
Source: RNAcentral
GACGUAGGUGGCAAGCGUUAUCCGGAUUUACUGGGCGUAAAGCGUGUGCAGGCUGCUGACCAAGUGGUGUAUGAAAGCGCCCGGCUCAACCGGGCAAUGGUAUGCCAGACUGGUCGGCUCGAGACCGAGAGAGGGACGUGGAAUUCCGGGUGUAGUGGUGAAAUGCGUAGAGAUCCGGAGGAACCCCAGAGGCGAAGGCGGCGUCCUGGCUCGGUUCUGACGCUCAGACACGACAGCAUGGGGAGCGAACGGG